This 325-nucleotide ribosomal RNA is filed under the name uncultured eukaryote. RNAcentral describes it as "partial 18S ribosomal RNA". It matches the Rfam family "Eukaryotic small subunit ribosomal RNA", at positions 1470 to 1796 of the family's 1831-position model. The record is from RNAcentral.
CCCUUAGAUGUUCUGGGCCGCACGCGCGCUACACUGAUGCAUUCAACGAGCCUAUCCUUGACCGACAGGUCCGGGUAAUCUUUGAAUCUGCAUCGUGACGGGGAUAGAUUAUUGCAAUUAUUAAUCUUCAACGAGGAAUGCCUAGUAGGCGCAAGUCAUCAGCUUGCGUCGAUUACGUCCCUGCCCUUUGUACACACCGCCCGUCGCUCCUUCCGAUUGGGUGUGCUGGUGAAAUGUUCGGAUCGGCCGUUUGUCGCGGUUUCCGCGUCAUGUGGCUGAGAAGUUCAUUAAACCCUCCCACCUAGAGGAAGGAGAAGUCGUAACA